GGGGUGGUAGCGCAGUGGUAGCGCGUCUGCUUCGCAUGCAGAAGGUCCGGGGUUCGAUCCCCCGUCACUCCA
Monosiga brevicollis MX1 is the source of this 72-nucleotide transfer RNA. It matches the Rfam family "tRNA". Rfam says of the family: Transfer RNA (tRNA) molecules are approximately 80 nucleotides in length. Their secondary structure includes four short double-helical elements and three loops (D, anti-codon, and T loops). Further hydrogen bonds mediate the characteristic L-shaped molecular structure. tRNAs have two regions of fundamental functional importance: the anti-codon, which is responsible for specific mRNA codon recognition, and the 3' end, to which the tRNAs corresponding amino acid is attached (by aminoacyl-tRNA synthetases). tRNAs cope with the degeneracy of the genetic code in two manners: having more than one tRNA (with a specific anti-codon) for a particular amino acid; and 'wobble' base-pairing, i.e. permitting non-standard base-pairing at the 3rd anti-codon position. The record is from Rfam. NCBI's taxonomy places the organism in Eukaryota, Choanoflagellata, Craspedida, Salpingoecidae.